Molecule: unclassified non-coding RNA, 263 nt
Filed under: plant metagenome
Description: partial contains small subunit ribosomal RNA, internal transcribed spacer 1, and 5.8S ribosomal RNA
Source: RNAcentral
UUUCCGUAGGUGAACCUGCGGAAGGAUCAUUAUUGUAUAACCGAGGUGCGAGUGCUGUCGCUGACCCGAAAGGUCGUGAACGCCCGAGUGCCCUCACACACAUCCAUCUCACCCCUAUGUCCACGUCCGCGUGGGUCCUCCUUUGGCUCGUUCGGAGGGGUGCUUACGUUUUCCCACAGACUUUGUAUGCAGUGUAGAAUAUAUUUUUUGUUUUUGCGAACACGCAAUCAAUACAACUUUCAACAACGGAUCUCUUGGCUCUC